This is a long non-coding RNA of Cucurbita moschata (crookneck pumpkin), 764 nucleotides long. RefSeq lists it as uncharacterized. Lineage: Eukaryota; Viridiplantae; Streptophyta; Magnoliopsida; Cucurbitales; Cucurbitaceae. The record is from RefSeq and is a predicted model, not a curated record. The transcript has 3 exons.
CUCACUUUUUGACUUUUCUCCCUCCCCUGUCUCGAUCUUCUCGCGCUGCGGUAGCCAUAUGUUUCUCGGCCAUCUCUCUCUUGCUCUGCCCUUCGUUCGUUGCUCGAGUUUGCUCGUUCUCGGGACCAGCUUUGAACGAACACGUUGCAAUAGGCAAGAUUGUAGCAUAUUCCUAAGCCAAGUAGUGUAUAUUAGAUGAUGGCACCUCAAAGAAGAGGCACAACAACAUGCAAUAGGGUAGGGUGGAAGGAGAUGGGUGACUCUGGCUCGAGCAGACCCUACCCAAAAUUAUUCGGUUGGAGAACCACCAUUUAGGCUUGUGCCAUAAUUGCUAACACCUCUGACACAAACUACAGUGAUUUUGACACUGGAGACUAUACUCACUUUUUGAGUUAGCUGCAACCAAUUAGUCAAGAAUAAUGGAAACAUGAUGACAGAGUAAGUUAAAUAUUUGUAAGACUUCAGGAAUCAUGAUCCCAACAACCUUUGGACCGAUAGGCAGUAGACUAUACCACGAGAAAAGCGUGAUUGUCCUCAAUUAAAAUAGGAGAUUUGAACUUUAGAUCUCUUAAUUGAGAAUAUAGUUAGAGUGAAGUUGGAAAAUCUCCCUCUUGAACUAGCCUUCGACAUUAUCUUAUUCAAAUUUUCAGGUCUAGUCUUGGCUGAUAUAUAUAUAUUUUCUACCAUGACUAAAUUGUCAACUGUCUUCAACAACAUCAUGUUUCUAUUAUUUCUUAAAAAAAAAGAAAAAGAUUUGAUUUUUC